This 76-nucleotide transfer RNA is filed under the name Candidatus Avanaerovorax faecigallinarum. RNAcentral's name for it is "tRNA-Pro". It matches the Rfam family "tRNA". From Rfam's summary of the family: Transfer RNA (tRNA) molecules are approximately 80 nucleotides in length. Their secondary structure includes four short double-helical elements and three loops (D, anti-codon, and T loops). The record is from RNAcentral. Lineage: Bacteria; Bacillati; Bacillota.
CGGGGUGUAGCGCAGUUGGUAGCGCGCUGCGUUCGGGACGCAGAAGCCGCGAGUUCGAGUCUCGCCACUCCGACCA